Molecule: ribosomal RNA, 272 nt
Filed under: uncultured bacterium
Lineage: Bacteria
Description: partial 16S ribosomal RNA
Rfam family: Bacterial small subunit ribosomal RNA
Source: RNAcentral
CGAUCUGAUGGCGACCGGCGCACGGGUGAGUAACACGUAUCCAACCUGCCUCAUACUCGGGGAUAGCCUUUCGAAAGAAAGAUUAAUACCCGAUGUUAUAGUCCUACCGCAUGAUGGGAUUAUUAAAGAAUUUCGGUAUGGGAUGGGGAUGCGUUCCAUUAGUUAGUUGGCGGGGUAACGGCCCACCAAGACAACGAUGGAUAGGGGUUCUGAGAGGAAGGUCCCCCACAUUGGAACUGAGACACGGUCCAAACUCCUACGGGAGGCAGCAG